Molecule: ribosomal RNA, 403 nt
Filed under: uncultured bacterium
Lineage: Bacteria
Description: partial 16S ribosomal RNA
Rfam family: Bacterial small subunit ribosomal RNA
Source: RNAcentral
AUUGAACGCUGGCGGCAGGCCUAACACAUGCAAGUCGAACGAGCGUCGGACGGGGGUGAAAUGUAUGGGGACUGCCCGUUAGAGGGGGAGAACUACUGGAAACGGUAGCUAAUACCGCAUACUAUCGGAUAACCCAUAUGGGAUUAGCUAGUUGGUGAGGUAAUGGCUCACCAAGGCGACGAGCCCUAUCUGGUCUGAGAGGAUGAUCAGCCACACUGGGACUGAGACACGGCCCAGACUCCUACGGAGGCAGCAGUGGGGAAUAUUGCACAAUGGGGGCAACCCUGACGCAGCCAUGCCGCGUGAAUGAAGAAGGCCUUCGGGUUGUAAAGUACUUUCGGUAGGGAGGCGUUACCUGCAGAAGAAGCACUGGCUAACUCCGUGCCAGCAGCCGCGGUAAUAC